UUGCAUGUGGAAACACAACUGCUCCUCAUUCCCUUGGGAGCAGGAAUACAUCCAUAACAUGCUACAUUAAAAAAGGAGUUCUCAGGGCUGCCAACCUUACAGUAGAGGUUGAGUAGUAGUAUAUUUCUCCUACAUAA
Small nucleolar RNA from Rhinolophus ferrumequinum (greater horseshoe bat), 137 nucleotides. Ensembl annotates it as small Cajal body-specific RNA 18. Its record names the gene SCARNA18. Lineage: Eukaryota; Metazoa; Chordata; Mammalia; Chiroptera; Rhinolophidae. The record is from Ensembl.